AUGCAAGUCGAACGCGAAAGUUCCCUUCGGGGAGCGAGUAGAGUGGCGCACGGGUGAGUAACACGUAGGUAAUCUACCUUUGGAUUGGGAAUAACAACCGGAAACGGUUGCUAAUACCGAAUAAUGCAGCGGCACCUAAUGGUGACAGUUGUUAAAGCGGGGGAUCGCAAGACCUCGCGUCUAAAGAGGAGCCUGCGGCGGAUUAGCUAGUUGGUAAGGUAAUGGCUUACCAAGGCGAUGAUCCGUAGCCGGCCUGAGAGGGCGGUCGGCCACACUGACACUGACAUACGGGUCAGACUCCUACGGGAGGCAGCAGUCGGGAAUUUUGGGCAAUGGGCGAAAGCCUGACCCAGCAACGCCGCGUGAAGGAUGAAAUCCCUCGGGAUGUAAACUUCGCAAGAACGGGAAGAAUAAGUGAGGGUUAAUAUCCCUUACGAUGACGGUACUGUUUGUAAGCUCCGGCUAACUCCGUGCCAGCAGCCGCGGUAAUACGGGGGGAGCAAGCGUUGUUCGGAUUUACUGGGCGUAAAGGGCGCGUAGGCGGCCACUGCAAGUCAGUUGUGAAAUCUCCGGGCUUAACCCGGAAAGGUCAACUGAUACUGCAGGGCUAGAGUGCAGAAGG
This 622-nucleotide ribosomal RNA is filed under the name uncultured soil bacterium. RNAcentral describes it as "bacterial SSU rRNA". It matches the Rfam family "Bacterial small subunit ribosomal RNA", at positions 55 to 655 of the family's 1533-position model. The record is from RNAcentral.